RNAcentral lists this ribosomal RNA (346 nucleotides) under uncultured Treponema sp. Its description in RNAcentral is "bacterial SSU rRNA". It matches the Rfam family "Bacterial small subunit ribosomal RNA", at positions 355 to 692 of the family's 1533-position model. Lineage: Bacteria; Pseudomonadati; Spirochaetota; Spirochaetia; Treponematales; Treponemataceae. The record is from RNAcentral.
CCAAGAAUAUUCCGCAAUGGACGAAAGUCUGACGGAGCGACGCCGCGUGGAUGAUGAAGGCCGGAAGGUUGUAAAAUCCUUUUAUGACUGAGGAAUAAGUGAAGUGAGGGAAACGCUUCAUGGUGACUGUAGGUCAUGAAUAAGCAACGGCUAAUUACGUGCCAGCAGCCGCGGUAACACGUAAGUUGCGAGCGUUGUUCGGAAUUAUUGGGCGUAAAGGGUAUGUAGGCGGUUCUGCAAGUCUGGUGUGAAAUGCCGGGGCUCAACCCCGGAACUGCGUUGGAAACUGCAGGACUUGAAUCGCUGAGGGGCAGCCAGAAUUCCAGGUGUAGGGGUGAAAUCUGUA